Molecule: transfer RNA, 87 nt
Filed under: Caudoviricetes sp.
Lineage: Duplodnaviria; Heunggongvirae; Uroviricota; Caudoviricetes
Description: tRNA-Leu
Rfam family: tRNA
About the family: Transfer RNA (tRNA) molecules are approximately 80 nucleotides in length. Their secondary structure includes four short double-helical elements and three loops (D, anti-codon, and T loops). Further hydrogen bonds mediate the characteristic L-shaped molecular structure. tRNAs have two regions of fundamental functional importance: the anti-codon, which is responsible for specific mRNA codon recognition, and the 3' end, to which the tRNAs corresponding amino acid is attached (by aminoacyl-tRNA synthetases). tRNAs cope with the degeneracy of the genetic code in two manners: having more than one tRNA (with a specific anti-codon) for a particular amino acid; and 'wobble' base-pairing, i.e. permitting non-standard base-pairing at the 3rd anti-codon position.
Source: RNAcentral
GCCGGAAUGGCGGAAUUGGCAUACGCAGGAGACUUAAAAUCUCUCGUCAUAUUUGACUUGUGGGUUCGAAUCCCACUUCCGGCACCA